GGAGGUCCCUACUCAACAAAUCAGGAAACCAUAAGCUGAGAAGAAAAAGUAGAAGUGGCUUGGGCGGGUAAUGGACAGCAUUUUCCACAUCAUCUCUCCAUAUCAAAUUACUUUUCAGCACCAGUGUAAAUAUUUCAUCUUCCUAUUUCCAGUUGAACCAUUCCAGCCCAAUGGCAUAUGAGCAGUUAUAUACUUGAAGGCAUGGAAGAAUAGAGGCAGUGGGGCGUGGUCUUAAUGUGCCUUUCUUAAAAGUCUGUCUCCUACUCUCUUUUAUUGAGUUCUACAUAAUUUUAGCAACUAUAUUUCUGAUUCAGUCCAGGCAAAUAAAAUUCUUUUUAUAGCCUAAAAGCUGCAAUACACAAUAAUCAACAAUCGCCUAUAAAAGGGAUGCUGCUAAAAUUAAGAGUCCUGUUUCUUCAGGUGUGAAAAGAGGACAGAAUUCCAAACCAUAAAGCUACCUAGAAACAACUUGUUAAAUAAAAUUCAAGGCUGAAAACACAAGAACAAAAAAUCUCUAUUUAGUUACCAUGGGAGUGUCCUUUAAAGAUAUAUGUAAGGUGUCUUCUUGGGGAAAGGAUAGUCUUUUCAACAAAUGAUGUUAGGAAAACUGGAUAUCCCCAUGCGAAAUAAAAUUGGACCCUUUCCUUACACAAUGUACAAAAAUUAACUCAAAUAGAUUAAAAACAAGUAUGGAGUUCCUGUUGUGGCACAGCGGAAAUGAAUCCGACUAGGAACCAUGAGGUUGAGGGUUUGAUCCCUGGCCUUGCUCAGUGGGUUAAGGAUACAGUGUUGCCAUGAGCUGUGGUGUAGGUCGCAGACAUGGCUCGGAUCUGGCAUUGCUGUGGCUCUGGUGUAGGCUGGCAGCUGUAGCUCUGAUUGGACCCCUGGUCUGGGAACCUCCAUGUGCCGUGGGUGCGGCCCUAAAAAGACAAACAGCAACAAACGUAUAUAUUAGAACUGAAACUAUAAAAUGCCUAGAAGAAAAGGGGGAACCUUCAUGUCAUUGGUCUUAGUAAUAACUUCAUGAAUUUGACACCAAAAGUAGAGGCAACAAAAACAAACACGAACAAGUGGGACUACAUCAAACUAAAAAACUUCUACACAGCAAAGUAAACAAUCAACAGAAUGAAAAGGCAACCUUCAUAAUGGGAGAAAAUUUUUUUUUUUUUUGGCUCAAAAAGGGCCACACCCACAGCACAUGAAGGUUCCCAGGCUAGGGGUUGAAUCAGAGCUACAGCUGCCAGUCUACACCACAGCCACAGCCACGCCAGAUCCAAGUCACAUCUGUGACCUACACCACAGCUCAAGGCAACGCCAGAUCCCCAACCCACUGAACAAGGCCAGGGAUCGAACCCAUGUCCUCAUGGAUGCUGGUCAGGUUCAUAAUUGCCAAGCCACAACGGGAACUCCUGGAAGAAAAUAUUUUCAAAACACGUAUCUUAUAAGGGUUAAUUUCCAAAAUACAUAAGGAAGUCCUACAACUUCGUAACAAAAACCUCUGAUAAUCCAGGUAAAAACUGGCCUAAGAACUUGAAUAGACACUUCUCAAAGGAUACAUACAAAUGACCAAUAGGUGUAUGAAAAGAUUUUCAACAUCACUAAUCUUCAGAGAAAUACAACUCAAAACGACAAUGGGUAUUACCUCAUACCUAUUAAGAUAGCUGUUAUCAAAAAAUCAAGACAAGUUGUGUUGGAGGAUGUGGAGAAAUUGAAACUCUUUCACAACAUUGGUAGGAAGCAAAAUGGUGCAGAUGCUAUGGAACAAAGUAUAAAAGUUUCUCAAAAAAUAAAAAAUAGAACUACCAUAUGAUCCAGCAUUUCACUUCUGAGCAUUUAUCCAAAUGAUUGAAAUUAAGAUCUCAAGGAGAUACUAUCAGUCCAUGUUGGUUGCAGCACUAUUCACAAUAACUAAGUUGUUGAAACAACCUAAAUGUCCAUCAGCUGAUAAAUGGAUGAAAAAAAGUAUGAUAUAUACAUAUGGUGGAGUACUAUUUAGUCUUUAAAAAGAAGGAUGUUUUGUAAGAUAUGACAACAUGAUGGAUUUUGAGGACAUUUUGCCAGGUGAAAUAAGCCAAACUCCUGAAAGACAAAUACUGCAUGACUCUACUUAUUUCAGUAUCUAAAAUAGUCAAAUUUCAGGAAUUCCUGGUGUGGCAUAGUGUGUUGAGAAUCUGAAUGCAGCAGCUGGCGUUGUUGCAGAGGUGCGGGUUUGAUUUCUGGCCUGGUGCAAUGGGUUAAAGGACCCGAUGUUGCUGUAGCUGUGGCUGGGAUUCAAUCCCUGGCCAUUAAAAAUAAAUAAAUAAAAAUAAACAGUUAUUAAAAGAAUAAAAAAUAGUCAAAUUGUAAAAUCAAAGAUUAAAUUGAGUGUUACCGGAGGCUACGGGAGAAGGAAGUGAGUUAUUAAUCAACAGGUGUGAAGCUUCAGUUUAUUAAGAUAAAUAAGCUGUAGAGAUCUGCUAUAAAACAUUGUAUGUAUAGUUAACAAUAAUGCAAUGUACACUUAAAGUUAGUUAAAAAGGUAGAUCUUUUGAAAAGGUUCUUAGCAAAAUAAAAUUAAAAAAAAUUUUUUUAAAAGUCUCCCUGGAGACAACUUUAAUUCUAUUGUUGAACAGUCUCUCCUAGAGAAUGUAAGCAUUAAUCUUAAAACUCCUCAUGCUAACAGGUUAUUGUAGGAGAGUAUAUUCAAAUCGGCAUCUGAAAAUUCUAAAGAAAUAUAAAAAUGUAUUCUUUUGAGGUGACAAGAACUUCAAACUUUAUCCCUGUCCUUCUUUUCAUUAGCCAAAUGAGAAAUUAAUAAGUCACUGACUCUGAGGUAUUUAAUCUUAAAACUGCAAGGGUAUUUUCUUUCUGCAAGAACACAGCUUCCUUGUUUGAAGCAGAAUCUACUCAAUUGAGGGCCAGAACUUGGGACUGUUGCCAAUCCCAUGAAUUUUUUUUCCUGCUUUCUAGGGACUCAUGUAGAACAAUUUAAGGAAUUAAAUGGAAAUGGAAACUCACGAAUUCACUCUAAGCUAGAAUCUCUUCUCUUCCAUGAAACUUUAUGAAGCAGAUGCAGGUAAUUUGAUAAUUCCCUAUUUUAUAAUUUUGAAAUCCUUUUGAUUCCUCUUGGGAAAUCAAAGUUAAUCCAGAAAAAUCCUAUACUCUAUUGUUACAGGCCAGGCAUUUCUCAGGUGCCCUAGCUGAAUUAACUCUUAUCUUCUCAACAGUCCUAAAAAGUGAGUGCUUUUAUUAGCAUCCCCUUUUUAUAGAUAGGAAAAAAGAGGCACAGAAAGGUUAAACUGCCUAUCCAAGAUUGCAUGGUAAGUACAUGGCAGAAACAAGUUUCACUCCCAGGCCUAUUAAUUCUGGAGCCAACAUUUUUAACCACUUUAACUUACAUGGAAGAUUACUGGAUGUGUAUCCUGACUAUACCCUGAGUUGUGUGUCACUAAAUCACAAAUACAUCAAGAUUUGGAAGGAGGAUCCUUCAAAAAAUUACCUUGACAUAAAGUUACUGUUUUUUUAAAGAAACUUUGUCAUUUAUUGAGUCUAACAGUAAUUGUUACUACAGAAAAUAAUAAAAGUACAUUUUAUUAAACAGUCAGUCUCUACCAGAGUGGUUUAAAAGUUAUCAAAAUAUUACUGUCCUAGAAUCCCUAUAAUUCUUACUGCUUCAGUCUCGUCAAUUCCUGAAACAUUAGUGAAAAUAACCCUGCAGAUGAUCACAUUCUGAAGGACAGUGUGUCUGAUAACCUGGUUUUACAGGACUUUAACUGCUGUGGGAUUAUUAGAGCAAAUUUACUAUAUUAAAAAGGGAACAGUGUUUUAUUUAAAAUUCUGAGAGUGCCCAUUGUGGCUUAGUGGGUUAAGGACCUGACAUAGUCUCCAUGAGGAUGGGGGUUUGGUCCCUGGCCACACUCAGUGGAUUAAGGAUUCGGCGUUGCGGCAAGCUGUGGUGUAGGUUGCAAUUGCGGCUUGAAUCCAGUGUUGCCAUGGCUGUGGUGUAGGCCUCAGAUGCAGCUCCAAUUCCACCACUGGCCCGGGAACUUCCAUAUGCUAUAGGUGUGGCCAUAAAAAGGAAAAAGUAAAUUUUUUUUAAUUAAAUAAAAUUAUGGAACAGUGCAUAGUUUGUACAUGAUAUGGCACGUAGGAGAAUUUUCUUGUAGAUUAUAGUUAAACUAGGGUAACUUUAUUUUUACCUGUUACAAAGGUAAAAUUAAGAUGUAUUAAUUGAGUCAUGUCCACCAGUUUGAGAUUCCUGAAGAGAAGAAUGAACAGCAGGAGGACGGGGAUGAAGAGCAGGAGAAAGAAGGAUUCUGAAUGGAUUAAUUCAUACUUCUAAUAAAGGGAAAAUAGAGAUGUGAUCUUGGUCUCCCCUAUUAAAAUUCUUUUCUCAAUGUGAACUUUUUUUUUGGAUGGCUGGAGGCAUAUUUCCCCUAUCUUUGGGUCCUAUCCAUCUCAAAAAGGAUAAAAAUAGGCAUUUUUUGUAAGCAGAAGAUUAAGUUCAUUAUCUCAAUUCAAGGGUAAAUUUCAUAGGUAAAUGAGCCUACUCUUUAAUAAGUUAAAGAAGAAAAUGUUAUAAAUCAAAUAUUUCAAAUAAAGUCAUUAUCUGUGAUGAUGUCAUAUAGCUUUAACCUACUGAAUAGAUAUUCAUUCAUUGGUUCUGUCAGUCACUGAUUGAGCAAGUAUUUAUUAAUUAUCUAUUAUGUCUCAGGUACCCUUUUAGGUACCAGGGAGGCAGCAAUGGAUGAAACAAAGUCCCUGUUCUCACAGAGCUUACAAUCUAGUGGGGUAGGGAUGGGGGUCUCCUAAUCUACAUAUAGACAAGUAAAGGUGUGUGUUAGAUGGUGACAAGUGCUGGGAAGAAAAGACAGCCAGAAUGGGAGGGAAGUGGUCAGGAAAGGCCUUUCUGAUAAAGUAGCAAAGAGCAAAUGACCUUAUUUGGUUUCCAUGGUAUACAUUUGGUAAAUGGUUCAUCUUAGAGACCCUGCCUGGAAGUAUCGUUGCUUAAAGUUAGGCAGUUCUGUGGGAGUGUUAUUGAUAUUCUAUGUAGCCAACGUAGUUGUCUACUUAUAUAAACCUUAAAUUUUUUUCUAGUCUAAAAUUACAAACAUGAUAUAGAACUUCAUGGCUUUGAUUUUCCAUUCAUCUCUGGCUUAACAUGUGUUAAAUAAAUGUUUUCUAAGGAGAGUCAUGGCCUAACAUACAAAUAUUAAUUUAAUUCACUUCCAACUAGAGUUAAAAAACUUUCAAACUUGGUGGCUGUUCUUGUAAACACUUCUGUAUUUUCAAGAGGAGCUCAGUUUUCUAUUAAGGCAGAUUUAUUUGGCACACAAGAAUAGCUGUGUUCUGGAUACAUGCCAAAGAAUAAAACUGAACACUAAUAAAAGGAUAAAGAUAACUAAUAGUAUUGAAUACUUCUGGUUAUUCUGACAUGUUAAAACAUUUUAUGUCUAUUUCUUUCACUUCAUUAUUACAGCUACCCUCUGAAACAAGUCUAUUUAUUUAUUUAUUUUAUUUAAAGAAAGGAAGUUCGGUACUUUUUGUUUGUUUGUUUUGGCUGUGCCUAUAGCACAUGACUGAAUCACUAUGCUAUACAGAAGAAAUUGACACAACAUUGCAAAUCAACUGUACUCUAAUAAAAAUAAAAUAUAAAAAAGAAUAGUAACGAAUGUUGUUCAAUACCUAUACAGCUCAUAAAGGACUUUCACACUAGGGUUUAUUCAUUUACUAUUAUUAAUAUUAAUAUCAAUUAUAAUAUUUAAGGGAAAUGCUUGGAACUUUGGGCGGAUUAUCUUAGUUAAUUCUCAACACAAUACUUUAUAGCAAGAGUCAGUACAUGCUAUUUUACAAGUGAGGAAACAAAAGUUGACCUAGGUUAAGUAUUGAAAAAAAUAUUCUGAUUAAUUAAAAAUUUUAAUGAUAUAGAAAAGGUUACAGUAUUUCAUGAGAUGUUUGCAUAAUAGAUUACUGAAAAUUUGAUGAUCUUGGGAGGAAAAUGUGGUGUGAAUUUGGUUAUUCCUACUUAUUUUUAUGUAAGGUGUUUUGAACAUAAGGACAGUUUCUGGAAACAUGAUGACCAGCCUGAAUGCUUUCACUUCCCCUCCAUUCUCAGUCCUAACUGUAGGAUUUGAGCAGGAGGUCUUGGGUUCUAGGGGAUGAUUCUCCUCAGGAGACUGCUUUGGGGCUUUGUCUCUGAGGGUCAAGCCAGAGCCUCUAAACUCCUGUGGGGGAGCCCUAGGACAGGAAUUAGAAUCAGGAAGCCUUGAGAAACGUGUAUACUUCCAGGGGUAAAACUGGCACUGUCUCCAUAUGAAUACACCUGUUCUCUCUGGUCCCCAAGAAGAGGAGCAAAAACUGAGUACCUGGGCUAAGUCUGUACUGUGGAAGGAGACAGUAGAGUUGGGUGGCUUCUUCCUAGCUCUCUCCUCUGUCCCUUGGGCAGAUAAAAGAAAUGCUUUUCCUUCCUCUUGGUGGACCACGACCACUUACGAUACAUCAGACUUGAGACUAAAUGUGGCAACAACAACAGAAAAGGCAAGAGUUAUAGCUUAUGGAGUUCUGUUGUGGCGCAGUGGGUUAAGGAUCUGGCAUUGUCACUGCAGCAGUUCAGGUCACUGAUGUGGUGCUGGUUUGAGCCCUGGCCCAGGAACUUCAACAUGCUGUAGGUACAGAAAAAAAAAAAAAAAAAAAAAAAGGAAAAAAAAAAAAAAA
RNAcentral lists this long non-coding RNA (6693 nucleotides) under Sus scrofa (pig). Its description in RNAcentral is "lncRNA (ENSSSCG00005013631.1)". The record is from RNAcentral. Lineage: Eukaryota; Metazoa; Chordata; Mammalia; Artiodactyla; Suidae.